RNAcentral lists this ribosomal RNA (503 nucleotides) under uncultured bacterium. RNAcentral describes it as "partial 16S ribosomal RNA". It matches the Rfam family "Bacterial small subunit ribosomal RNA", at positions 30 to 523 of the family's 1533-position model. The record is from RNAcentral.
AUUGAACGCUGGCGGCAGGCUUAACACAUGCAAGUCGAGCGGGGUGAUGGUGCUUGCACUAUCACUUAGCGGCGGACGGGUGAGUAAUGCUUAGGAAUCUGCCUAUUAGUGGGGGACAACAUCUCGAAAGGGAUGCUAAUACCGCAUACGUCCUACGGGAGAAAGCAGGGGAUCACUUGUGACCUUGCGCUAAUAGAUGAGCCUAAGUCGGAUUAGCUAGUUGGUGGGGUAAAGGCCUACCAAGGCGACGAUCUGUAGCGGGUCUGAGAGGAUGAUCCGCCACACUGGGACUGAGACACGGCCCAGACUCCUACGGGAGGCAGCAGUGGGGAAUAUUGGACAAUGGGGGGAGCCCUGAUCCAGCCAUGCCGCGUGUGUGAAGAAGGCCUUAUGGUUGUAAAGCACUUUAAGCGAGGAGGAGGCUCUUUUGGUUAAUACCCAAGAUGAGUGGACGUUACUCGCAGAAUAAGCGCCGGCUAACUCUGUGCCAGCCGCCGCGGUAA